UAAAAAUUAAACCAAUGUGCCUGAGAUUGACGAAAACACACUCUGAGUAGUUAAGUGUGUGUUGAACAAGAUAAAAAAUGAAGUUACUACACACAAAUGGCACCCAGUUGGUGGAAUGGCCCUACUACAGACUCUGUGAUUCAUAAAAAGACAUUCAGACGUCCCCCGAGUGUUUUUUUUUUUUUCAAGGGUGGAAUAUUUCUCCUGGGUCAGAUUGCUUUGGUAGUGAUGAUCCUCGGCACCAUGCAGCCCUUUGCCCCUGAAUCUGUGGGACUCAUCACAGGAGCAGGGCAGUGAGGUUGAUGAGGUCUGGCCACCCACACAAGCCUCUUCGUUUUGUGGCCGAGCCGAGCCGGUGGAUGGUAAUUGCUCUGUGGGGCUGUUUUCUCUCUCCUGCCUGUGAUUUCUGAGUGGGUGCUAGGUGGGCCUGCUUGCCUGUGUUCAGUUCUUCUGUAGAGGUCUUUCAGAACAAGCUGAUUCAUCAACACCAAGUCAGCGUCAGACUACCUCCUGCCUCAGAUUCACGGACUGGAGUGAAGUCGGUUCAGCCAAAUCAUCUGAGUUUGCGGUGUUUCCAACACGGCCUCAUAACACAAGAGACGUACCGGUUUUUCUUCUUGAAGCACAAAAUUGUGUUCACUUUCCCAC
Trichomycterus rosablanca is the source of this 648-nucleotide long non-coding RNA. RefSeq lists it as uncharacterized. The record is from RefSeq and is a predicted model, not a curated record. The transcript has 3 exons. Lineage: Eukaryota; Metazoa; Chordata; Actinopteri; Siluriformes; Trichomycteridae.